RNAcentral lists this ribosomal RNA (253 nucleotides) under uncultured bacterium. RNAcentral describes it as "partial 16S ribosomal RNA". It matches the Rfam family "Bacterial small subunit ribosomal RNA", at positions 524 to 776 of the family's 1533-position model. The record is from RNAcentral.
GACAGAGGGGGCAAGCGUUGCUCGGAAUUACUGGGCGUAAAGGGCGCGUAGGCGGGAUGGCAAGUCGGUCGUGAAAUCCUUCGGCUCAACCGAAGAACGUCGAUCGAUACUGCUGUUCUUGAGGGUUGCAGAGGAGACUGGAAUUCCCGGUGUAGCGGUGAAAUGUGUAGAGAUCGGGAGGAACACCGGUGGCGAAGGCGGGUCUCUGGGCAAUUCCUGACGCUGAGGCGCGAAAGCUAGGGGAGCAAACGGG